RNAcentral lists this ribosomal RNA (254 nucleotides) under uncultured bacterium. RNAcentral's name for it is "partial 16S ribosomal RNA". It matches the Rfam family "Bacterial small subunit ribosomal RNA", at positions 524 to 776 of the family's 1533-position model. The record is from RNAcentral.
UACGGAGGGUGCAAGCGUUAUCCGGAUUUACUGGGUUUAAAGGGUGCGUAGGUGGGUAGGAAAGUCAGUGAUGAAAUCUUCGGGCUUAACCCGGAAACUGCCAUUGAUACUAUUUAUCUUGAAUACUUUGGAGGUAAGCGGAAUAUGUCAUGUAGCGGUGAAAUGCUUAGAUAUGACAUAGAACACCAAUUGCGAAAGGCAGCUUACUACACAGUUAUUGACACUGAGGCACGAAAGCGUGGGGAUCAAACAGG